UAGCUGUUAUAACACGUUACACCCUCCUUCACACAUACUCAAGGUCAACACACACAGACACUGGAACAUCCUGUUCUCUACAUAACAGCGAGCGGCCUAACCACAAAGCGCCAUUGAGGGGUUGCUGAGUCUGAUACACUAUCUCGUGACAAACACCAGCUGCAGAGGCACCCCAACCCUGAGAAAGAGGAACACACACGCACACACCUAAUCUCCUUUUUAGCUGAACAUUGUGUGACCAAGGACAGGUACGACGAGACUCUAUGAUGACGGAUGGUCCAACUGAGCCAAUACAAGAAGACUACACUCCAGCCUGAACCAAUCCGAAGACCCGAUCUUCUAGAAUCAACCUACUUUCUGUUCUGUAUAUAAUACAUGUGCACACUGUUAGCGGGGCUUUUUUCUGGAGGUUCCUUAUGAGCUGAAUGAACGGGCCCGUAUACGCUGUACCAGAUAUCUUCACUCUGAAUAAACUGUCGCUUAUCAUACAAUCUACCGCUUUGUCCGAAUCGAUCCUUGACCGGCUCACUCACCUGCACAUCCCAGUUAUCAACAGGAUAUAAUUUUGUACCUGUCUCCUCCAGCAUCUUCACAAGGUCCAUUGCUGCUGUUCUAUGAUUGAUUUUGCACUUUUCCCACCAAAGAACGUUAAUCUCUAGGAGACAGAAUGCAUCUCCUUCCUGAGUGGUAUGACGGCUGCGUGGUCCCAUGGUGUUUAUACUUGCGUACUAUUGUUUGUACAGAUGAACGUGGUACCUUCAGGCGUUUGGAAAUCGCUCCCAAGGAUGAAUCAGACUUGUGGAGGUCUACAAUUUCUUUUCUGAGGUCUUGGCUGAUUUCUUUUGAUUUUCCCAUGAUGUCAAGCAAAGAUGCACUGAGUUUGAAGAACCUGAGCCCUAGGACCAUGCCUCAGGACUACCUGGCAUGAUGACUCCUUGCUGUCCCCAGUCCACCUGGCCGUGCUGCUGCUCCAGUUUCAACUGUUCUGCCUGCUGCUAUGGAACCCAGACCUGUUCACCGGACGUGCUACCUGUACCAGACCUGCUGUUUUCAACUCUCUAGAGACAGCAGGAGCAGUAGAAAUACUCUGAAUGAUCGGCAAUGAAAAGCCAACUGACAUCUACUCCUGAGGUGCUGACUUGCUGCACCCUCGACAACUACUGUGAUUAUUAUUUGACCAUGCUGGUCAGUUAUGAACAUUUGAACAUCUUGGCCAUGUUCUGUUAUAAUCUCCACCCGGCACAGCCAGAAGAGGACUGGGCCACCCCUCAUAGCCUGGUUCGUCUCUAGGUUUCUUCCUAGGUUUUGGCCUUUCUAGGGAGUUUUUCCUAGCCACCGUGCUUCUACAGCUGCAUUGCUUGCUGUUUGGGGUUUUAGGCCGGGUUUCUGUACAACACUUUGAGAUAUCAGCUGAUGUAAUAAGGGCUAUAUAAAUCAAUUUGAUUUGAUGAAGCCUGUGCUGGUUGAAAAAUACGUUGUGGGGCGCCGUCCUCAAACAAUCGCAUGGUAUGCUUUCGCUGUAAAGCUUAUUGUAAAUCUGACAAUGCAGUUAGAUUAACAAUAAUUUAAGCUUUUAACCAAUAUAAGAUACGUGUAUGUUCAUAAAUGUUUAAUAUUCCGAUUAUUUAUUUGAAUUGCGCCCUUCAAUUUCACCAGAUGUUGUCGGCAGGUGUCUCACUAGCGGGACGUCUAGCCUUAAGAAGAUUUAUAUUGUAUGUUGUCAAACAAACAUGGCGCCACACAUAGGUCGUAUUUAGCUUAGCAUUAGCUCAGCAUAACCAGUACAACCUUCCAAAAAGUAUUUUACACAUCAUAUGUGUCCAUUACAAUCUAUGCAAGAAUUGGAAUGCAUGAUUUGUCACCAAAACUUGAAAACAUGUGAAUAAAACAGUAUACAUUAUGUUCCAUACGCAUGAAGUGCUCCAGUGGAAACGACAACACGAUAUACAGAAACUAUAGUGAGGCACUUUGAUAGGAACACACACAUGUCCAAAGUUAUUAUUAGUAAGAAGAAAAAAGAAAGGAAAUGUGGUUUUUGUUUGUGCAGGUUCUGUUCUGACUGGAGAUGCGCAAAGGUCUGCAUACUUCAUCUGGGGAAACACUGGGGAAGUGCUUGGGCUCUCGAAGAUAUUUUUCUUAACCUCAACUUCAACAUACUCUCCUGCAAUCUGCCUCACCAAUUGUGGUACGGAUCUGCUAUUUUCUUUACUUCAGAAUCGGAACCCCCAACAGAAGCUAGCCAGCUAGUUAGCUACUAGAUAGUAGUCAGCUAACCACUGCUAGCAGCCAUCGGCUAACCUUUAGCCCGGACAACUCUUGCCAGUCUGCACUGCGCAAUUCAAACCAGAGCAUAUCAGACUUAUUUUUCUCCAUUUCUCCAGAUUCUUACCGUAAGCUCUGAACCUUUUCACCUGCAUCAUCACAGCUAGCUAGCUGCUAUCUGAGUGACCACUCCUGGCUAACGUCUCUGUCCCAACGCAAGCACCAAUUAGCCUGGAGGUAGCCUAUGCUAGGUAGCCUCAGCCACUCCUUGGGCUACAAUACCUAUUUUGCCAAUUGGCCUAGACCCCUUUUACUGCCAAUACGGAGCCCCGCCGAGCCAUCAUGACUAGAGUACCAACAUAAUCUGCCCGAGGUUGGUUUUUCAAUAGGCUCCCCUGUCGCAACGUGCCCUGAAUAGCCCGCCUGCUAUCCGCUGCCCGCUAGCUGUCUAGAGCAUAUUUGACUGUUCGCUAAAGAGGCCCGUCUGACAAUUUCUUGGGCCACUAUACCUAUUUUGCCAAUUGGCCUGGAGCCUUUUACUACACGGAGCCCUGCUGAUCCAUCACGACUGGUCUGCCGGCG
Molecule: long non-coding RNA, 2844 nt
Organism: Oncorhynchus tshawytscha (Chinook salmon)
Lineage: Eukaryota; Metazoa; Chordata; Actinopteri; Salmoniformes; Salmonidae
Source: Ensembl